Molecule: non-coding RNA, 187 nt
Organism: Oryza glaberrima (African rice)
Lineage: Eukaryota; Viridiplantae; Streptophyta; Magnoliopsida; Poales; Poaceae
Source: Rfam
CCUAAGUACAGUUAUAAGUUUCUAUGUCCAACGUUUGAUCGUCCAUCUUAUUUGAAUUUUUUAUGAUUAGUAUUUUUUUAUUAGAUGAUAAAAUAUAAAUAGUAUUUUAUGUGUUAUUUUAAAAAGUUCAUAAAUUUUAAAAUAAAACGAACGUUCAGGAAAAAAAAAACACACAUAUGCAUUUAAA